UGAAGAGAAGAACAAGAGUGUUGAAUGGAAAGCUUGAGGAAUCAAUUUGGGUGACCUAGGAGCUGAAUUGAAGCAAGGGUUAGGAAUAAUCAUCUUCAAAGGUAUGGGGGUUAGUUAUUAUCAUAAUCAUGUACAAUCUUUGCAUUUUCUCAUGUUGUAUGAAAAUGGGUUGAUGAACAAUUGUUGUUAAAUUCGUGCUCUUGCUGUGAUGCUAUUUUCUUGUGCAUGAAUUGAUGAUUAUGGUAUGUUUAUGGGUGAAAUUANN
RNAcentral lists this long non-coding RNA (265 nucleotides) under Medicago truncatula (barrel medic). RNAcentral's name for it is "long non-coding RNA (MTRU_LNC004267)". The record is from RNAcentral. Lineage: Eukaryota; Viridiplantae; Streptophyta; Magnoliopsida; Fabales; Fabaceae.